GUUGAAUAUAACCCACAACUUGACUUAGCUGUCAGCAUAGUUGUUGCUCCUUUAAAGGGUGAAGCUCGGCCACCUGAGAGGCUGGCAUGCAGCACCUUCCUGUCCAAGGAGACAUGAUUCACUCAGUCAUAGGAUGGAACCCUCCUCUUUAGAAAGAAGCAGCGCCCUCCCCGCAGGCACCCUCACAAACCCUAGAGCCAGAUUAGAUGCAGCAGUAGCUUCAGUGAGGGAGGAGCCAUAAUGAGUAACGCGUGGAACAUAAUCUUCGGUGCUGAUAAAUAGAGGGCUGCCUGCACAGUUCCGACCACUCCGCAGCUGGGCCUGGGUGACCUCACGUAACUAACUGACCCUGUGUCUUACGUGUAUUCAUUUUUGGAAUCUAAGAGGUAAAUCUCCAUCCCAGCCCAACCCCCACUCCCCACUUGAAAGAUUGCACAUCACACCUAGAAUUCUAUUUGUUUAAUAGCUGUCUUUAAUGUUAAAAAUAUACAAGGCCAGCCCUGGC
Myotis brandtii (Brandt's bat) is the source of this 505-nucleotide long non-coding RNA. RefSeq lists it as uncharacterized. NCBI's taxonomy places the organism in Eukaryota, Metazoa, Chordata, Mammalia, Chiroptera, Vespertilionidae. The transcript has 3 exons. The record is from RefSeq and is a predicted model, not a curated record.